GAUCAUGGCUCAGGAUGAACGCUAGCGACAGGCUUAACACAUGCAAGUCGAGGGGCAUCAUGAGGUAGCAAUACCUUGACGGCGACCGGCGCACGGGUGAGUAACGCGUAUGCAACCUGCCUGAUACCGGGGUAUAGCCCAUGGAAACGUGGAUUAACACCCCCAUAGUACUUUUAUCCUGCAUGGGAUGUGAGUUAAAUGUUCAAGGUAUCGGAUGGGCAUGCGUCCUA
This 230-nucleotide ribosomal RNA is filed under the name uncultured bacterium. RNAcentral describes it as "partial 16S ribosomal RNA". It matches the Rfam family "Bacterial small subunit ribosomal RNA", at positions 15 to 240 of the family's 1533-position model. The record is from RNAcentral.